This 336-nucleotide ribosomal RNA is filed under the name uncultured bacterium. RNAcentral's name for it is "bacterial SSU rRNA". It matches the Rfam family "Bacterial small subunit ribosomal RNA", at positions 8 to 334 of the family's 1533-position model. The record is from RNAcentral.
AGGGUUUGAUCAUGGCUCAGGAUGAACGCUGGCGGCAUGCCUAAUACAUGCAAGUCGAACGAGGCGGAAGGAAGCUUGCUUUCUGAGGCCUAGUGGCGAACGGGUGAGUAACACGUGGGCAAUCUGCCCGUAUGUCGUGGAUAACGGUUGGAAACGACAGCUAAUACAGGAUGAGCAUCCCGAAGGCAUCUUUGGGAUGGAAAAGGGGCCAAGGCCCCGCAUACGGAUGAGCCUGCGGUGCAUUAGCUGGUUGGUGAGGUAACGGCUCACCAAGGCGAUGAUGCAUAGCCGACCUGAGAGGGUGACCGGCCACAUUGGGACUGAGACACGGCCCAA